GAUGAACGCUGGCGGCGUGCCUAAUACAUGCCAGUCGAGCGAACGGACGAGAAGCUUGCUUGUCUGAUGUUAGCGGCGGACGGGUGAGUAACACGUGGAUAACCUACCUAUAAGACUGGGAUAACUUCGGGAAACCGGAGCUAAUACCGGAUAAUAUUUUGAACCGCAGGGUUCAAAAGUGAAAGACGGUCUUGCGGUCACUUAUAGAUGGAUCCGCGCUGCAUUAGCUAGUUGGUAAGGUAACGGCUUACCAAGGCAACGAUGCAUAGCCGACCUGAGAGGGUGAUCGGCCACACUGGAACUGAGACACGGUCCUGACUCCUACGGGAGGCAGCAGUAGGGAAUCUUACGCAAUGGGCGAAAGCCUGACGGAGCAACGCCGAGUGAGUGAUGAAGGUCUUCGGAUCGUAAAACUCUGUUAUUAGGGAAGAACAUAUGUGUAAGUAACUGUGCACAUCUUGACGGUACCUAAUCAGAAAGCCACGGCUAACUACGUG
This 497-nucleotide ribosomal RNA is filed under the name uncultured bacterium. RNAcentral describes it as "partial 16S ribosomal RNA". It matches the Rfam family "Bacterial small subunit ribosomal RNA", at positions 28 to 507 of the family's 1533-position model. The record is from RNAcentral.